Molecule: ribosomal RNA, 270 nt
Filed under: uncultured bacterium
Lineage: Bacteria
Description: partial 16S ribosomal RNA
Rfam family: Bacterial small subunit ribosomal RNA
Source: RNAcentral
AACGAACGCUGGCGGCAUGCCUAACACAUGCAAGUCGAACGCGUGGCUUCGGCCACGAGUGGCGCACGGGUGAGUAGCGCGUGGGAACCUGCCCUUUGGUUCGGAAUAACCUCGGGAAACUGUGGCUAAUACCGAAUGCUCCCUACGGGGGAAAGAUUUAUCGCCAAAGGAGGGGCCCGCGUCCGAUUAGGUAGUUGGUGAGGUAACGGCUCACCAAGCCUGUGAUCGGUAGCUGGUCUGAGAGGAUGAUCAGCCACACUGGGACUGAGA